This 336-nucleotide unclassified non-coding RNA is filed under the name soil metagenome. RNAcentral describes it as "partial contains 5.8S ribosomal RNA, internal transcribed spacer 2, and large subunit ribosomal RNA". The stretch from base 2 to 120 matches the Rfam family "5.8S ribosomal RNA", at positions 36 to 154 of the family's 154-position model. The record is from RNAcentral.
UAUGAAGAACGUAGCGAAAUGCGAUAAGUAGUGUGAAUUGCAGAAUUCAGUGAAUCAUCGAAUCUUUGAACGCACAUUGCGCCCCUUGGUAUUCCAUGGGGCAUGCCUGUUCGAGCGUCAUUUGUACCUUCAAGCUUUGCUUGGUGUUGGGUGUUUGUCUCGCCUUUGCGUGUAGACUCGCCUUAAAAUAAUUGGCAGCCGGCGUAUUGAUUUCGGAGCGCAGUACAUCUCGCGCUUUGCACUCAUAACGACAGCGUCCAAAAGUACAUUUUACACUCUUGACCUCGGAUCAGGUAGGGAUACCCGCUGAACUUAAGCAUAUCAAUAAGCGGAGGA